UUAUCAUGAUCCUCGCAUGAGCGAAAGAAGUGCCAUCAACAUUCUAUAUUGUCACCAACUUAGUUAACGGACCAAGUCUCUUUCGAGCUCUGUUUGCACAGACUUCAAACUUGCAGUUCUCUUUGAUAAACAGAAUGCAAAUUGCUGCCCAAGUGACAUCGGCUCUAGGAUACAUGCAUAAUGCAAAACCUAAGGUGCUCCAUAGAGAUUUGAAGACAGACAACAUUUUAAUAGAUGCCCAUACUUAUCAUCCCUACUUAGCAGACUAUGGGCUGGCUUGUACCAGAGAAAUAACAAGCAUGG
This is a long non-coding RNA of Corticium candelabrum, 303 nucleotides long. RefSeq lists it as uncharacterized. The record is from RefSeq and is a predicted model, not a curated record. The transcript has 3 exons. NCBI's taxonomy places the organism in Eukaryota, Metazoa, Porifera, Homoscleromorpha, Homosclerophorida, Plakinidae.